Trichonephila inaurata madagascariensis is the source of this 73-nucleotide non-coding RNA. The record is from the annotation of a GenBank genome assembly. NCBI's taxonomy places the organism in Eukaryota, Metazoa, Arthropoda, Arachnida, Araneae, Nephilidae.
GUCCCUGUAGAAAAGAGGAUAUCGCGUUGGACUUCUAAUCCAAAGGUCGUGGGUUCGAAUCCCACCAGGGAUA